This is a non-coding RNA of Linepithema humile (Argentine ant), 354 nucleotides long. NCBI's taxonomy places the organism in Eukaryota, Metazoa, Arthropoda, Insecta, Hymenoptera, Formicidae. The record is from RefSeq and is a predicted model, not a curated record.
CUGAAAUACGCCACCGAACACCAAGCCCCGCUUUUCUGUUUCUGCAGCAGGAUAGCGCCUAGACCGACACUGCUCGCAUCUGUAUGCAGUUCCGUCUCUAGUGCCGAAUUAUAUAGUGCCAGGACCGGUGAAGAGGUAAUCAAUAUUUCGCUCAAGAUCUCGAAAUUCUCGCGCACUGAUCUCAUCGGAAUCAGCACAUCGUUGAUGUACACGAUCACCUUAUCAAUGCGAAUAAGCAGAUUCAGGAUCUGAAUAAUCCGUUUUUGGAAUUCGGCUGGUGCUUCCAAAUACCCAAAAGGAAUUACUCUAGCGCAAUACGGCGAGACGCUUGUUUGGAUGAUUCCUCAUUUCAAG